AUACGGAGGAUCCGAGCGUUAUCCGGAUUUAUUGGGUUUAAAGGGUGCGCAGGCGGGAGAUUAAGUCGGCGGUGAAAUUUUGCAGCUCAACUGUAAAAGUGCCAUCGAUACUGGUUUUCUUGAGUGUGGAUGAAGUAGGCGGAGUUUGUGGUGUAGCGGUGAAAUGCAUAGAUAUCACGAGGAACUCCGAUUGCGCAGGCAGCUUACUAGGACAUAACUGACGCUCAGGCACGAAGGCGUGGGGAUCAAACAGGAUUAGAUACCCUGGUAGUCCACGCAGUAAACGAUGAUUACUCGCUGUUUGCGAUACACAGUAAGCGGCUUAGCGAAAGCGUUAAGUAAUCCACCUGGGGAGUACGUUCGCAAGAAUGAAACUCAAAGGAAUUGACGGGG
This 393-nucleotide ribosomal RNA is filed under the name uncultured bacterium. RNAcentral's name for it is "partial 16S ribosomal RNA". It matches the Rfam family "Bacterial small subunit ribosomal RNA", at positions 523 to 918 of the family's 1533-position model. The record is from RNAcentral.